Molecule: non-coding RNA, 89 nt
Organism: Clostridiales bacterium
Lineage: Bacteria; Bacillati; Bacillota; Clostridia; Eubacteriales
Source: Rfam
GGAGAGGUGUCCGAGCUGGCCGAAGGAGCCUGACUCGAAAUCAGGUAGGCGGCAACCCCGUCUCGUGGGUUCAAAUCCCACCCUCUCCG